Molecule: long non-coding RNA, 17660 nt
Organism: Synchiropus splendidus (mandarinfish)
Lineage: Eukaryota; Metazoa; Chordata; Actinopteri; Syngnathiformes; Callionymidae
Exons: 4
Source: RefSeq, a predicted model, not a curated record
AAUAGAUCAAGCUCUUGAGGAAGCGGACAGUGCCACGUUUGAAGACGCGGGGACAAUCACGCUGCUGGGAAGCGUCUCGUGUCGGAGAGGAAGCCAAACAACAAGAGGAAAAGCACUCUGAUUUUCGCACAGGAAGCCCACUGCGCCUCCUGCCCGGGCCAGAUAAGAGCACUGCGGUUCCCAAGGCCAGACUUAGGAUUGGACCAAGGACCAAGGCAUGAGGCCCUCUCAGCCUGAACCAGCCUCUGUCCCUGGGCCUCCUCCAGCGCGGUGUCAAGCUCGUGGUGCAGCCGAGCUGCAAAGAACAAGGGUCCGGUGAGGAUCCAGCAACAACUACACUAGGCAAACAUUGUCAACACAGUUUGAGAACCAGAACAGAGCUUUCCGUGGAACCUUCUGUCAGACAUGUCACGGCACGGAAAUGUUAAUAGGCUUCUGCACAGGCUUUUGGUGUGAAAGCAUUAAUGCCGCUGAGUGCUCACCACUGCUUAUCAGCUCACAUUGUGAUUGAUGGAAUGUUGACUUGAAUAUUGACCGUUAAUCCCUUUUAAUAGCUGUUUUUCAGAAUGGCUCUUAGAGUUGAUGCGAACCGUCCCAUUGACUUUCCUCAAUAGGCAUCUCUAAAGCUGAGCUGAGAUCUAAAGGUGCAGCCGGCAGAUUCAAAACACAUCGCUGUCAUAUUCUGAUGACUUUUGGCAAAGAGCGGCGUACGAAAGCAAACAGGCGCACUUCGGCAUGGCGCCAUGCAGGAGCGCUGGGGUCGAGGGUCAAGUACGCUGAUGAUGUCAGCGCAUCUCACAAGGGUAAUAGAGUGUGGGCGGCUGGAGCGGCGACCGCAGGUAAUGUUUAACCUUUCUGUCUUUGGUCAUAAGCAACACAAUACGCUCCUGACCUCCAGGACAGACUUAAUGAAUGUUUUUGCCAAGUGGCUGUUUGAGCGUGAGCGCGUCUGUUCAAGCGUCUGGCCUGGCUGUCGCUCUGCACGCCAGGGCUGGGCCGCUUCUCAUGAGAACGUUAUAUAUAGUGCGUAUGUCAGGUAUAAGAAAAGGCAUUGCAGGAUGCCGUGUGCAACCACAAUAACAAACAGGCCUCUCACCCUGCGUCCUGCUCAGGAAAUUCAUUAAAUCAUAGCGUUUGAUUUGGAAACCAACUAAUCGUGACUGAGAGCACAGGUCUAUUGAAGUGUGUUUUUCAUUGUUCUUUUAAGUCUGAGAUACACUGUGUACUGUGUCUGUGAACACACACACACGCACACACACAGAAGCACACAUGUGCAGAAGAGAUGACUUUGUUUGAACUUAAAGAUGGAAAAGACGCACAGACAGUAAGAGAACUAACAUUGAGAAUGCAGUUUCUCCAGAAACACACACGUAAACACAGGCAUGAUUAAAACACACAGUCUGAGAGUAAUGAACACACACACACACACACACACACACCCAUGCACACAAAAGGCCCCCAAAGGCAUCUGUUCUGGUUACAAGGAGGAAAUUGUCUGCAAAAAAAACACAUGCUGAAUUAGACAAAACAUGUCUCCUUUUAAAAACCACACAAUGCAAGUUGGAUUUAACACAAAGCAAAGCUCAAUGUCAGAUGGCAUUUCAUUAGGAAUAUAGAGAGGGUGAAAAAGGACAACUAACUUAAGGCUUUAGAACUGAAUAACCCAUAAAUGGUUUCUUCUCUAUCAACAUUGUUUGCCAUAUAAAAAUGUGCUGAUAAGUAAGAGGUAGUGCCUUGUUUACAGAACAAAAUGCAGGCUUUGAUAACCGGUGACCGAUGCAGUGAAGCUAAAUGACAUUGGACGUUUAGUGCCAUGGCUUUGGUUGUCAUCACGUUUUUCGGGGGAUAUUAUCCCUUGGCCUUAUUUACAGUUGAAAUCAAUGAAAAAAUGAAGUUAAAGUUGGCCAUUUCCAGGUAACUUGGGUCGCCACUGCUCUGGAGUGCAGAGUCAGACUGAAGUGUAGGGACCCAUGUGGCUGGUGAGUCACCGGAAAAGCCGUCGGUGGUCCCAUGGAAUUAGGUCAUCCCAACUGAGCUUGCACGUUGGAUGGACAUGCUGUUUGUUUUCAACUUGGAGGCCGCAACAUCAGCGUUUUUCACGUUUAACACGACUUCAUGGCCAUGGUGCUUUGCUGCUGUACCAAAGCGAGGCCUGACCCUGGACACUAGCUCGCCUCCGCUAGCCUCUUAACUCAAUAGUUUGUCUGCUUACCGGCCUUUAGAUGGACAGGGAUGCCAGAGCCACUUGAUGUUUGGUGGAGGGACACCAUGAGACGUGCAGUGUAGAGUUUUCCUGCUCCCGCGAGGCACAGUGCCGGGGUCCUGCAGCGACACUUCUUUCUCUCCGAUCUGCGGACAGACUGUUGAAGCAGCGGCAUCAGUAUCGAAGACGACUGAUGUGUGUGAGAGCGGUUCAUUGUUGCUCCUCACCAUUGACCACAAGGGUGACCGUGAGAUUCCGGCUGAGUCCAUAUUCGGGGAUUGUAACCCGGAUGGUAUAUUUCCCGGCGUCCUCCUCUGCUACAUCCCGGAUAAUGAGGGAGCUCCCAGACACGCGGUACCUGGAGCACUGAUCCGCUGCCACCAUCCCAUCCUUAAACCUGCGCCACAGCAUUUGUUAUCGUGUUAGAGAAUAUUUCCAAAUGAGUCGGACAACACUUUCUAUAGGAAAAGGCUAUGCAUAAAUAAUGGAAGCUAUCAUGGUUAGGUCUUUCAAACUAAGUGAUGAAUGAUAUCUAUAAAUAUUUUGGAUGAGUCAUAAUCCCUACCAGAUAACCUCAGGGGUUGGGAACGCUUGCAGCUUUGGGGUGAUCUUGUAUGAUUUCUGUCCAGCGUCAACCUUCACAACACAGCCUUUUUUGGGCUUUAACUUGAUGAACGGACGCUCUGGAGGAGGAGGAGACCACAAGCAACUUGUUGGUUACGUUACAGUGCUACAGUUUUGUAGGCCAUGGUUUUAAUGUCGGGGAAAUGACUCACCAUAGACGAUGACAGACACAUUCUGCUGUUUGGUAUUCUCACCGCUGGUGACACGACAGGUGUACAGGCCCUGGUCUGAGAGCUGAACCUCGGGGAUGGUUAGGAUGUUGUUAAACUGUAGAUGUGCUCUGAGUUUCAGAAGCCUUUUGGAUGUGUGGCCUCUGUUGUUGUACUGGAGGUCAGAUGAGGGAAAGAGACACAGAUUAAUUCAGUUUGCUGGGAACAGUCAAAAUACAUAUGAAGUGGAGUCACUUGAAUCUAAUAGGUGCGGCCGGUGGCACUAUAGUCGAAUAUCUCCUGAAGUCAAGUGGGUUUGUAAAGAAACAUGCAGUGUGUGAGUUGGAAUCAAAUUCUAGACUGAUUUUAAGCGCAUCAAACAAAUAGAUCAGCAACAGAGCAUGUCCAUAUCGUUGCCCACAAAGAUCAGUGUUUGAACUUUACCCAUCGACAGGUUAGAUUUUAAAGAAUCACUCCUGUGACUGGUUGCAUUCGAUUGAAAUGUUGACGAUGUUAAUGAUUGAAGUAUAAAAAACAGAAUUCUACAACCACUUUUUCCUGACUGUUUUAUGACAUGACAUGGCGCCUUGAUCGAAUUGGACCGCUCUGACCCACAUGUAAGGUUUAAACACAAGGCCAUGUUGAAUUGCUUUAGGAAGGGUUAGUGGAAUCAUUUACCAUAUUAAAGUCUGUCAUUGCCCUCUCUAGUCAGGAGAUAAAAGCUCAAAACAAGAAAUGGCUUGUCCCGUGUUGCUUUACAACAUUACGCGCUUUAGGCUGUGUCCCAUUUCUCACCCUAACACAAGCACUGAACACUAGCACUUGGUUUUGAGUGCCCUCUACUAUGAAGUGCCCUCGUACGACCAAGUGAAGUGAAUUGACUUCCCGAAGAAUUGGGACAACACUUCGCGACAUUACGCUUUACGCAUGACGUGUUCACUUACGUCACGCGUAACGACGUGUCAUCGGCUGCUGUGCUGAGUUUUGUUUCCUGCAUAUCGAGUGUUGGAAACGUUUUGGAAAUGCCAGCUCCAGUGUUUUUGCAACCUCUCGCAUCGGAGCUGAUAAUCUCACUUGGUUUGGUGAACCAACGGAGAAGAAUGAGCGGCGCGCUAUGUUCCUCUUAUAUGAGGAUGCUAACGUUAGCCUGGAUGCUAGUCGAUUGUUGUUUGUUAGGAAGAAAUAAAAACAUACUGUAGUACAUACAUGUUGUAUUGUUCCUGUUGUCGGACACGGUAGACCAUUUGGAUGUGAUACGAGAGACAGUAAACAAACGGAAGAUUAGUCCUUGUUACUAAAAUGUCCCUGUUGUCCUGUCCAACAUUGUUUUUAAAUAAAUAAUAAAAUAAUAAAUACUGGAAAUCUAUUCACGCUUCAUAUUCCCACUUCGUUUCAAGUCACUCCGGCACCCCCUCGGUUUAAAGGGAUCAUUUCUAGUGGUGAACGUCAAGUGCCCUCGGUCUUAGGAGCACACUACACUUACACAUGAACACGCAAAACUAACACGUGUUAGGGUCAAAAAUGAGUGUUAGGAUGAGAACUGGGACACAGUUCCACAUAAUUCUCGGUAGGUUUUCAGUGAAUUUAUUAUGAAUCGACAGUCUUCUGACCUUUCCAGGAUAGUCCCACGAAAUGUUGACUCUGGUAUUGAGUUCACCAGUCGCAGUGCAGUUCAAGACCAGUCUCUUUCCUCUCAGCGUCUCCACAGGACCACUGCUGUUCAAGUAAACCUCCAUGAUGUUGCUCACUGGUAGAGCAGAGGCAAAAAACAUUCCAAAUAUCAAGAGACUGAUGAGGCACGUGGUGAAGCUGUAGGGCGCACACAUACCCAGCCUGUGGACCAGGUACAUGCGUGACGUGCGCGUCACGCCGUUAAUGACUGUCUGGCAGUAGAAAAGGUUGAUAUGGCGCAGGGUUGGCGAGUGAAUGGUGAAUCCUUGUUUGCUGCUCCAGGUGAUGUUCCUCUGGUCUGGGAUGAAGACUUCCGUGUAAGACUGCGGGAGGAGAACAUUACAUGGAUCAGACUCAUGCGUAAGAAGCAGCAGCAGUGAGGCUGUUAGACACUAGAUGGAAAUGUGUCUUGUAUUUAGGCUCCAGGUUCUGUCACACCUGUCCUUACAGCAUUUUUGGAAACCCGUGGUGGAGAGCAGGCUGUUUUGUCACAGGUUUUGUAACUACUCUGAUGCGCACGCUUGAGCAACCUUGUUGUUUUCUUAGGGGCAAGCCCAAGGAAAUGUUUACUAGAAUCGCUGUGACACUGAAAACCUUCCACCCUCUCUCAAGGGAGCAGGUAGACCCCCCACCGAAAGUUCACCAACAGCAUGGAUCGACUGAUGUGGCUCCUCCCAGAGUCAGGUGACGCUUUCCUCCUUCCUCCUUGGAAAGUCUUUCCAAUCUGAUAUCCCUCUGAACUCACUGACGCUCCUUCAAAGGCGCUGCGCUGCCCUGGCGACCCUUCUUAGCCCCCUCCGCUGAAGGUGUGGGUGGGGAUGCAGGAUAAGUCGGGGCUUACAGCAGUCACGAUAUGAAAAGCUUGACUCACAUCCAUCCGGUUACAUCCUGGAUCUACAGGAUACAGACAUUUGGGCUGGGACCUCUUUUCCCAACCCUAUAGUGCUGGUGACCUCCUCCUCAUUUUAACUGCAAUAGGUGAAGGGUCCCUCAGUGGAUCCAGCAAAAACAUCCAGGAAAAAACAACCUCGACAGUGCAGAACACGCCAUGUGAGUGAGUGUUGAAGAAUUGUGGUGAGGUUAUAUUUGGAUUGUAUUUAUGGCUCCAGGAGUUUGCGAGGGGAUGGAAGCAGGACAACGAAAUGAAGGGGUGUAAAAGGUGAUGUCCUGUCAUGGCAGCCUUCGACACUCAUUCAAAGUUUAGGAAAUGAAAGGGAUAUAAACUGGAACAGGAAUUUUGUUCUUCCUCACUCCUAAAUAUAGACAUAUUUCUAAACAUGUUCUGUCUCCAAAUGUAGAUUUCCUCUUUAUAUUUAUCCAGAACAGAAGCUGUCAGGUCAGUUUACAUUAGCCACAUUACUCAGCCGGGGAACGCGGAGUCAGCAAGAGGAAAUAUUGGAGUGUGCCCAAUCAAUGAGCUGAUAAACAGGAGUCUUCUUGGAACACGCUGAGGAAAUUCAGUUCAAAUUUUAGUGUUCCGUGACAUUCGUCAAAAUGUCAGUGGUCACCGACGUACUAGUACAUUUCCUUCACUACCUACUUUUGUUGUAUUUGUAUUUGUGUUUUAAAGGGCCAGUUGAAGUCCUCACAAAGGGGAGCUCAAGUCUCUGACUCUUCCAGUGGUUCAAGCAUGAGAAACAUCUGGAGGUGCGCAAUAGAAUCGUUUUAUCUCUCGUAACACUGGGUUUUUGCUGCUUAUGAUGCUACAUAGAUCAAAGUCAAGCUUUUUUUGUCAACAACUGAAUGACUGUUGAUGGGAAAAGAAUGCUGUGAGUGAUACAAGGACUUGCUGUGUUGUAAACCAACACUGGACCAACAUAACCAUUGACAAAUGACUAUUAAAUUAGUGGAUGGCAAGUUCAUUAUCGUUCUCUUGGCACAAUCCACAGGAAGUGGCGAAAUGGCUGAAGCACAUCAAAGGACACAUACUGUUCACCACGCCUUUUGAGCAAUUCGAAUUCAGAAAAAUACUUUUUCAUAAUUCACACAAUAAUAUUUAACACUACAUAAGAGUUUAUAUCAUGUUCUAUGCUCACUUGGGACUAAGAGUGAAUUUGGUCGGCGACUAGUGGACUAUCGACAUAUUUAUUAGCAAAACAAUUCUUCUUGAUAAUAUUUUUUAGUAUUUUACCAAAUGGUGUUAAGUUCUGGACAGUCCAGCAUAACCAGAAUAUCCUCUAACAAUCAGAAAAGAAAAGUCUCUAGCGUAUUUGUUAGAAGAUAAAUCCAAGUAUAAAUGGUUUGUUUGCUGUUUGAGCACAGCUUUGCAGGAUAAGCCUGCAACAAAGAAUCGGAAAGAGCGAGCCAAAAGUCCAACCAGUUGCACGCUUGCUUCAGAGAUGUAAUAUGUUGUUACUUUUUUUAAUUCCAGACUUUGAUGGAAUGUUCAUGCAGCUACAUUAAUUCGCCGAUUCACGGAAUCCUUUUAAUUCCAGCUGGGAGGUACACAGGCCGGAACAUUGCCCAACUUCACUCCCGCCUGAAGACAAUGUGUUGCACUUUGAUCUGCAGAGGCCAACAGUAGCUGCCGCAGCUUCCUCUCUGUGGCAGGCAGCUGUUUAAAGCAUCAAGGGAAAGUUGGCAGCCGAGGCGCUUACUAUGAGAGUUGGAGGGUCCGACGUGGGAAGUGGCGCUGGCUUGUCGCCAGUGGGGCACUCCAGAUCUAAUGUCCUGUCUCCAGGGGAGGAACCAAGCCAACAGGAUGGCGCGGGCGCCGUUCGAUCGGAAACAGAAAUUAAAGUGGCAUCUUUGAUUGGGAUGAUUGUUUGACAGUGGGGAAAUGCAUGUGAUCGAGUGAUGAGAUAGACAUCCCCCUCUCACCCCCCCACACAUCAGUGGAGUAAAAGGUGCCGAAGUAAAGAACAAUGUGCAGAAACAAACGUGUCAGCGAGUCCCGAAGGAAAAGCCUGACCAAGACGAGCAGUGAAGUGUUUUUCGGAGGAGCAGGAAGAAGUUUGACGUCAGACUGGAGCUUUCAUCAUGGCACCGUCAUGUUCUUGGACUGACCUUGACCAGGACGGUGGUGAAGUUAGGAUGGGUGACUCUGCAGGGAAUGACCAGCGGCCGCUUCUCCGUCAUGUACAGCACAUCCGGGCUCAUGUCUGAAUGGUCCACAAACGGCUGCUGGCUGUCUGAAACGCAAACUCUCAGUCAGGCAAAGUCCAAAUGAAACACCAACUCUGGGAGGAUUUUUGGACGCUGCACUAAUACAGUGAACAGAACAAUCCCUUGCUUCUCCACACACAACUUUACAUUCAAGGUUUUCCUCAACAAACCAAAAAUAAACAUAUAGAACUGAACAACUGACCUCAUGUAGUCAACAACAAAUAGAGAUUGUUUAUGGAAUCAAAUGGCCUCCCUGUGUAGUUCUCCUCCCAGCCGCACGACUUUAAUACCUCACUGCCAUUGAAAGGUGUGGGUGUUGCUCCGUGCAUUGUUUGUUGGGGGUUAUUCAUGGAAAGCAAAUCUCUGAACAUUUGAACAAAAGUACCCCAAGGACUGGUGGACGCAGGGCUUCCUUCUCUGGCUUUGAUUUCAUGUGGAGGAGGUGUGUGUCCAGCCAGAGCUGCAGGCCAGGUCGGCGCUUAAUAGACGUGGAGACCUGAGCGAUUCAUGACACCCAGGGGCCAUGUUGAUCUUAAUGGCGUGCCCUCUGGCCGUGGCCUGCAGCAAUGGCUCGGUGCCCGGCCCAAGGAUAACGUGGAGCCGUGUGGAGACACUUGCUAGCUUCCCACACCUGACCUCAACCAUUAUGACCUUUCUUCUUAAAAUGAACUGCUCUCUGAGGGUCUGUUUUAUUAUCUACUGUAUCUCCUCUCAGUGUCUGCAAGCCACUGCAGUCUGUUCUCCCAAGCACCGCCACAAGUUGAGCAUUUGAUGCUCUCAUUGGUGCUCUUGUCCGUCCUAGUCACGGCCACUGAAAGCUACUUGUGACUCUUUCGGUCUCGGAACCGUGGCUCCUGGCAGAUCUCACAACAUGUGUGUCGUUGAGGAAGUAUGUGACGAUCAGACGCCACCGUGGAUGGACUGGACGUCUUGAUCAUGAAGCUGAAGUGUGCUUUCUUUUCUUGUGCCAAGCCAUUACUUGUGCGAAUAUUCAGUCAAAGGUGACCUUAACACAGUUCCAACUGAUCUCGCUGACGGAGAUGCCUUCAGAUCUUAAAGACCUUGGAGGAAGUGAUAGCAAGGGAAGCUACACCGCGUUUACUCCGAUUCUUGUCCCAGGUUUAGUUGGUUUGAUAUCAGCUGUGGUCGCUUGCCUUGAUCCUAUUCUUCUGUCCGUCACAUUGGCAGACAGCGCCCCUCACCACCACCCCCACCUCAAGCCCCGUUCAUCUCUUCCCCUGCACAGGAUAUUUCAAGCUGACUGAGGCAGAUAAGACUGAUGCCCUGGGAAACUCUGCCCAAAUGUGAGGCUUUCAGCCGCAGAGCUAUUUCUGCCUCACAGUGUUGCACGAAAGUCGAAGUUGAUUUAUUUAUAGGCAACAGGAGGUAACAAGACUUGGAGAAGGAUGUGUUGUUGGGACAAAGUGUCUUUAGAUAUAAAUGACUCGGGGGUUCAGCAGCAGCACAUCCUGUUUAACCCAGAGGAACAAAUACAAGGUGACGCCGUCAGGCCUGUGCUGUUCGCCAAGUGUCUUACCUGUGAGAUAGACAUAAACCGAUGAGCUCUUCUGGGUCCAACGUUGAUACCGACAUUGGAAGAGUCCGGUGUGCUGGGCUUGUGUGCGGGCGACCGUCAGACGGCUGCAGUAGUGCUGACCCGUCCUCCCGCACGCCGACUCCUCCACCUGCACCUGGUCUAGCUCCAGGCCUGCAGGGAAGGCCCACACCAGCCUCCAGCGACCCCUGGAGCCCAGGAACGCAGGGUUAGAGAGAGAGAGACGCGCUUCAUGCUGGUAGAAGACCAAAGUGGAGGUUUGAAUCUGAGCAUGUUUAAACACAACUACACACUGUGUGUACGGAUCCCGCAAGAGUGUUGCGUCAAGUCACCAGUGAAACACGUCUUGUGAUAUUGGACAGGUGGCCAUAAGUCAUUGCUCACUUCACUCAACUAUUUUUGAAGGAUGGCUCCAGUAGCCGCAACAAAACAACUUUGCUCUCACCAGACAUCGGCUUCCUUCUCUAGCUCUCCUGUGGAACACUUGGACCCCAAGCUCCUUCCUUCUGAUCCACCAUGUCACUGCGAAAUCAUGGCUCAGUGAUCGUCACUGGGUUCUGGCCUGCAGCGUUUGUCAGUAACUGACAGGAAAUAAAGCACUCUGCCUUUUGGCUCAGCUCAGCUUGAGAACAACUGACUGAUACAGCUUCCUUGUGACAUUCGCUGUCACACUCCAUCCUUCCUGCUUCUUUGCAGAUGAAGUCAUUUUGAACUCAGAGUUGGGUCCUAAAUUUGGCCCUUUCACAACCUCAGUAUUCCCCUUUAGCCAGAGCCUGCCUCAGCCAAAGUUUAGGAAGUACAAAGUUCUAAGUGGAGCUGCUUCCUAACGCUGAAAGUUUGAGGAUAUUUGGUCCUCAAAUGUGGAAGAACAUCUCAAGGGAGCUGGAAACACACCUGCAGUUGAGCACCAGUGUCUGUUUGGAGUCCAGUACCAGGGUCGGGUCCUGCACAUCCAGUUUGGGCACGCUGUACUUCCCCUUCUGAUCUUUCUCUUCGAGGAGGAUGAGAAAAAAAAAAAACAUAUCAAUGACUCAACACCAGUGUUUUACUGUCAUCUGAAUGCUAUGUACCUCAGAGUUAGCGUGAGCUGAAGGUGAAUAAUCGACAUAUUUGUCAGAUGAAUAGUUUGGGAAAAUUGGGUUGAUAGUUGGUGUCUUCUUUAAUCCAACUUCACAGUGGACCACUGGAUUUUAAGGAUGUGUAUUUUUGCCCAACCACAUACUUUUGACAAAUAAACAGAGGUGUUUCUUCAGCCCUACUUCAAGCUUAAUAACGUGGUAAAAAUAAUAAUAUUGAAACUGAGAAUGAUGGACUUUAAUAUUAUAGCUGUCAUGCCACAAGGACCUGGAUCUCUAAAGUCUUAAAACAUAAUCACGUAAGACGGAGUUUGAGAAAAUAGUGACCACAUUUAUGACUAAGCGACAGUUUUGUUGUCUGAAGUUUUGUUGUCUGACUGUGGAAGCAGUAAAUGACUAGAGUGUGCUGUUUUACUGGACCUGAUUCUUCAUUAAUGUAGAGGUGAGGAUCACAAGGCGGACAACUGAACUGUAUUUGGAGGCGUUCAAGUUCCAUCCCUCGUAUUUGGUCAUGAACAAAUCUGGUCUCUUGUGAGAGAGUCAAGUGGUUCCAUUGGCAAACAGAACCAGCUCAGGGUGGCCCCAGCUCUUGUGUCACAGCCAUCAAAACUGACGUUUGCGACCGUUCUAAAGUGAAUUUCUUGGUGGAAACCCCUGUAUUCAGUCACUUCCCGUGAGUCCUGACAGGCCGCAGCAUCUCCCUGUAUCUGUCUCCAGUCGGUUCCCUGCAGGACGGAGCCUCCGUGACCCUCCUCACAUCUCCUUGCCCCGUGCCACUUGACAGCUCGUGUGGAAAUGCGUAAGCAAAGUGGCUCUUGUUUAUCAAAUGAAGACGUUUCUUUACUCCCCGGUGAAGGUUUAUUAAUGAGAGAUUAAGUCCAUCCACCCUUCCUUCCUCCGCUGGAGCUCAUCUACUCACACACGCACACACGACACUCCACCGCUCUGUUGGAGGUGGUUCCAGUCCUGAUAGUAAGCCACGUCUCAACUUCACUACUAAUGUUAUCCAGUGUUGCUGUGAACUUCACAUUAGCACGUUUCCUGUCCGCCACUGGAAGAUGGAAAUCACACAUGGUGCAGAGACUGCCCUUCUCUUUGUCAGCCACAAUCACACUCUUUCCCCCGGAGGAUUUUCGAUUUUCUUUUAAAGGCACUCACUUCCUAAUGGGAUCAUUUCCGCUCAUUUUAUGUAGUACAAUGAAGUGUAAUAGAUUUAUUCUGUAUCUCUGGGGCCAGUCAGCAGUCACUUUAUAAAACUGGAAAGAUAAACCUGUCUGACUCAAUACACUGUUUUAAACCCAAUUAUUGUCUUUCCCUUUAUUUCUCGUUUUUACUGUACAAGUUCUUAAGUAUUACACAUAAUUUUCAAUGUUUUAUUUAUGUAUUUCUGCAGCAUUCAGGCCUCAACUACUUUGUGAUCAUCUCAUUACAAGAUAAGGAAAAAUACACAUGCUUAUCGCAUGAUGUAUGGCAACAUAAAAUUCUAUAUAUUAUAAUGUCAUUCUGGAAUGUAUUCCCAAAUGUUUGGAAUUUUUUUUGCCUCAUCAUCAAGUUUAUCUCAACUGAAUAUUUUCUUCCCAGUGCAAUAGAUAAAUAAAUAAAUACUACUACGCUUGGAAAAACAUUUAUAUUCUUUUUGUUACUUUUCUACUUUGUUACUACUUUGUGCUCUUUAAUCAGAAACUUAAUUUCAGGUGAUAUUUCAUACUUCUCUUUUUGUAAACAGCGUUUUUGUUUUUGAAUGCAAUUGUUAUGAUUGUUUCUAAAAUGCUUUGCACUUACAAUUCACCGUCAUUUGUACAUAAUAAGUGUAAUUCAAAUGGUGAUUCAAUAUUUGUCUCUUACUAUUUAUAUAUGUACGUUACUGUUGACUGUUUAAUUGUACUCUUUCAAUAUUUUUUCUUUAUUUUAAGUGGACUAUUUCCAGUUUUAAGGUUAUUUGAACUUCAGAAAUCUGUGUUGAUUUUUGGUGGAUAAUAAUAAUAAUAUGUGACAUAUAAUAACAUGUAAUUAUGGCGAUAUAAAAGAUAUAAAAAAAAACGUAUAAUAGGUGUAAUGUAGCUAGAGAUAUCACAGGUUAUGGCUCAAAUAAAGAGGUCCACAGACACAGAUAUGGAUUGCAAGGAUGUAUUUGACGUUUUAACGAGGUCAAAUUUCUAUAUUUUACCUUUUUCAUUUGGUAAUUGGUUGGAUACAUUAUAUAUUCACGUUCACAGACACACUCAUUUUACUGCUCCCAGUUAUUUCGGUUUUAUUCUACAAUUCUAUUUAAUUUAGCUUUUGAAUUAACAAUAAUAAAAAAAAGUUGCGACGAUAACUUUAUGAUCAUAAAAUGCACUUUUUGUGAAGCGGAAAAACUAUUCAUAACAUCUGAAGAUGAUGCCAAAAGUUAUGGAGGAAUUCUUUUCACGCAUGAAUUAUUCUUCAGUUCUGUUCCUCUCCCGCGCUUAAAGCACAAAACAAGUGUAAAAAAAAAAAAAAAAAAAAAGUAAUGAACCGAAAGUUUCGAGACGGUUUUAUGCGUUCAGUGUUUCUGCGUUCUGGAUUUGCCACUUCACUGACGCGCGCCUCAAACCGCUCGCGGAACCUGUUACUCACCUCUGGCCACGACCCCCAACAAUCCACAGAGCAGCGAGAUGAAAACACACUUCAUGGUGCCACACGCGGCUUAAUUCCUCUGUGUCGCAGCUCUGGAGACGCAAAUCACUCCACGAGUUCCCCAACUUCGAGCGCAGCGCAACUUUUGGCCGUCGCCACGGAGAGGAUGCGCGCCUUUAUGCUGUUCCCACAGUGCCGCGGUGACGUCACACUGACGCUCGCGGACACACCCUUGAUGGUCCGCGCAGUUGGUGGAAGUCGCUUUCUCACACGUUUGACUCCGCAUCGGGGAGUUUAUUGUACUGACGUUUUCUUUCAUGGAGGGACGUGUGUCUGCAUGGUGAUGAACCGGUGUGAGUUUGGCGCGUGACCCGCGCUGGGUCACAGGCUUUUGAGGAGAUGAUGAAAGUGAAAACGGUAGAAUUCAUCACCACCAAGUGAGAGGGAAGUGGAGGACUGAGUCGUGUGUCUUGACUCAGGCCUGCGACCCAGCAGGACUCUUGGCACUGAAGGAGACAAGUGUGGAGAAGCUGUGGCUUGAGUCAGACGUGAGCUCACAGCUGACUGUGUUCCAGAGCAACAUGACGGCGCUUCUGCCUCCAAGGACAGGAGUGACUUCAGAAAAACAAGAUGGAGCUCAGUGACUUUUUAUAAAUUCAGUCUUUUAAUUUGUAUAAAAUAACUUUGGAGCAGGAUAGUAAUGUAACAAAUAUACACAGCUCUAUCUGUAUACAGUGUCCUCCAGAUAUAUUGGCACAGCUAAAACAAACGCGUGCACCGGCUCUUAACAAACUGGGUCUCCUCCUCCUCCUCCUCCUCCUCCGCUCUGCUGCCGACAUGGUCGGCGGUGCUGCGAUGGGUGUCCUGUCCUGGACGGACGCCAGGCCGGUUGAGCCGGGCGCAGCCCUCGCCCCAGCUCACGAUCCCGGCCAGGAACCAGCGCCUGCUGCGCUCCACACACACCAGCGGGCCCCCGGAGUCACCCUGGAGGACGGGACCAAACCAUCCAGCCACGUUCGACAGAUGAAAGUCUGUAGUCACAACAAGUAGCUGUGACUACGCUACACUGCAGCUUUUCCAGUCGAUCACAUCAUAACUCCUCAGCGCAUGAUACUCAGGACGGGAGGUAAUGGUGGUCACUGUAUGUCAGGCACGUCCAAAGCCUGGCACAGGGGCCAUUGGUGGCCCUCAAGCCUGUGGCCACAGUCAUACAUUACUUUCUGGCCCAUCCCACUAAGUGAAGUAAGUGACUCCUGAACUGUCAUUCAUUCAUUCAUCAUUCAUUCUGUCAAGAUGAGAAUGGGCUUCAAGUGACUGCCAUUUUGGCUGAUGAGAGUUCACUCACCACUCACAUGGAUAUUACGGAACUCGCUGUCCUGGGUGGGAAAUAUGAAUAUGGAAUUGAAGUCAAAACUGGAGUCGAAGAAGGUUUUUCCACAGGUUUUUUGUUUAGUUUAAAAAACAUCAACAAUUGAAACUAACAAGGUUGAGGUUCGAACUCAUUCCGAUAAAUGAGCCACCUUGUUUGAUGCUGCUGUCCUUGUUCACAGCUGAUCAAACAUGAAUGUAUCCAUCUGACCGCUACAUUAGUUUUAAAAUAUGACUGAUAAAUUGAGUGUUGAUCUGAUAUAUUUUUAUCCAUGAUCCCUCAGUUGUGAAGUCGGCCCCCUCCCGGAACCUCUCUGCUGUACGUCCUUGUUUACCGUGGUAUGAUUCCACUGUUUUGACCUCCAGCUUCCUCCAUCACACCACCAUUGUCUUCUCCUGUUUGUUCUUCUUUCAUUCUCUCCCCUGCUUUGUUCAUCCCACGCUUCCCUGUCUGAGUGUUUGCAGCUGCAGCUGUGGCUUUGACGGCUGUGCUGGGACUGGCCACUGGGGGGAGACAGAGUGUCGAACAGGAGCCUGAACUCGCUGUUCUGAACGGGGCAGACUGUGCGCACAGACCAACGGUGAUACACGCAUUUCCACGUGUGUAAAUGUGGGCACCUUCUCCACUGGGCACCAGCCCCACAUGCUGCGAGGACACUCCCUCACCUGACAGGCGUCGACGCCUCCCUGCAGGUUUCCAGCGCAGAGCAUCCGGGGAGUGACGGCCUCAUCGUAGAGCUUGUUGCAGGUCCCUCUGUUGAUGAUCUUGACUGGCGCCUCCUGCAGGCGAGUGGCCAGCUCACCUGUCGUACGAGAGACGGAGGCGUCAGUGGGCUCACUCUCUCUCUCUGAUGCGCGGGCCACAUGGGAUGCCUCACCAUCCUCCAUGAGGACGCCCCAGCCGGUGACGAAGCAGCUGCUGCCCAUGGAGAAGCUGUGAGACGGCGCCGGGACACACACGGGCUGCACCAGGUCGCUGAAGAAGACGGCGGCGCUCAGCUCCAGCAGGGCGAUGUCGUAGUCCGAGGUGAACUGGUCGUACUUGGGGUGGAGGAGGAUCCGUCGUAUCUGCCUGGUGGCCGCACCUGUGGCCCCUGCGGUCAUGACCCUCAGCCCCAUGUGGGCUCGCCAGGCCCGGGCGUCAGAAUACCUGCGGAUGGCAUCUGCAUCAUCACAGGGCCUCGGCAGCUGCGGCGCCGCCACCCUCUUACUUGAUGGUGUCCGAGUCCUGGAAGCAGUGGGCGGCAGAGACCAGCCAGCGGUUGGAAACCAGCGUGGCUCCGCAGACGUGUCCGUAGCGCUCCAUCUGUAGACUGACCUGCCAGGGCCAGGACCCUGUCCCGGCGUCAGAGCCCCCCACGAUCUUGGUGCGCUUCCUGGGCCUGAUGCCGCAGGCUGGGUCAGAGGCGGAGAAGCUCAGUGAGAACCAGUAGAAUGUUUCUGCACCCGGAUGAGAGCGCGUUACCACAGCGCAGCUCGUCGGAACCGUCGGAGCAGUCUUUGACCCAGUCGCACUCCGGGUUGGCCUUGCUCACGCACUUGCCGUUGGAACACUUAAAGGAGGAGGGGGAGCAGCCCUUGACGUCUGAAGAGAGUGAGGCUGAGUGAGAGAGGGCUCACCAGCUUCCGCUUCACUCAGUCACUCACAGGCUCGGGUGCAGUUCAGCUCGUCGCUGCGGUCCUUGCAGUGGACCACGCCGUCGCACACCGACGACUUGGGCAGGCACACUCGACCCGGGCACGUGUGGAAACAUUUACCUGCUGGGGAGGCACUUUUGUCUGUACCUUCACUAUGAUGGGAUGUCGCCGCGGUUACUCACCACACACGCCCUCUUCGCUGCUGUCAGCGCAGGAGCUGCCACACUGGCUGCUGUGAGCUUUACACUGACCUCCGGCACACAGCACCUCCCCCGGCCUGCAGGGCGCUGCGCACACGUCAGAUCCAAGGCUGUUACAGCACACUUUGGUUUCAGUCUUUAUCAGUCAUUCGCUUUAGUUUGUCAUGACGCAUUUUGUUUCAUCAAGGCUGAAAUACUUUAGUCUCUGACUUACUACUUACAAAAAAAUGUAUCCAAAUAACAAAGAAAAAUAAAAAAAACUUUCUUUCAGAGGGAACAUUUUUAAGUACCAACUCCAGGUGCAUCACAUGACAUAAUGUAACAUCCAUGAGGAAGGUGAGUCCAUGACUUAGUGCUGAUUUACAAGUUGAAAUAACUUCAGCAGAGAAACACAAAAAUGCUGUUCUUGUGAAUUGACGUCCAUGGAUGUGGUGAACGACGUGUCUCAGACUCACAGCACUUGGCUUCAUCCCGUCCGUCUGAACAGUCUCGGACUCCAUCACACACUUUCCUCAGAGGGACGCAGCGUCCGUCUCCACAGCGGAACUGGCGAGGACACGCUGGAAAGACAAGUGUAAGACAAAUGUAAGCGGUGACACAAGGACCGACAGAGCAACUUCAGAACAGAUGAAUCAGAUGUUUCAAGUUAAAAAAAACAAUCUUGAAAUGGGAACAGAACGGACAGCAGAAUCUUGGAGUAAAUGCCUAAGCAACCUCUACUCUUGUUCAGUAAACUCUAGGCAGCAGUUGAUCCAAUAUAAGGUGGACAGUGAAGCUUCACUCAUUUUACCCAUUCACAUAUGCAACAUGUAUCAAAUGCAAACAGCGUUUGAUCAGAUUUGGCAGCCAUUUUUAAUGUAUAUUAUGGCGCAAUUACAACUCUAGACACCUCUGGACUGUAUUUUCUUCUGUUAUAUAAUUUACGAAUGCUUGAAAGGAUCAUGCUUUUAUUAAUUUUCUUGUGUGGAGUGCAUUUCUUUUUUCUUUCUUUUCUUUGGGGGAGUUCAGUGGGAUAUGUAUGUUCUGUAGUGACAGGCCCUCAGAGCUUGGUUAUGGCCUAACAUAACCAGAAAUCAUGAGCGUAUUGAUGACAGAAGUGAAUUUCAUUUUUCAUGUAUUACAAAAAUACAUUAUAUGCAGUACAUAUAACAAUCAUACUCAUGUCACAGUAUAUCCCAGAGUUGUUUUUCCAGGUUAGAGUUUUCAUCCAGUCAGAAUUCAGCUAGCUUGUGUUGUCAUGUCCAAGGCCUUCAGCAGCAACAGUGCAGGCACAGGUGCCCUCAGAGUGAACGGACAGAGUUGAUGGAUAGUUGCGAUAGCCAAUCAAAUCACAAGUUGGGGACAGUGAGUGAAUGCAAACGUUUGAGAUGUUUAUUUUAUUCAUGUUUAACGUUCAAUGUUAAUGACGGGGCGCAGCUGUGUGGCUCUAUGACACGUUUCUUGUGCCGCUGUCGGCAAACUGCGUCCGUCUUG